UAAAAUAUAUGCUUGAUUCGGUAAGGUAGUACUAAAAUAUACAGCUUACCUUUCUUUUCAGAUGUGUAAAGUCUUUUAGGAGUGAGGAGUGAUUUGGACUUAUAGAUGGUUCAUGCCAGCAAGCUUAGAAAUUAUGUUCUCACCCAUGUGACCCGCUGACAUCAUUUGAGAUGGACCCUGCUAGCUCAAAUUUUGACACCAACCACUUUUUCAUAGUAAAUUAACAAGAAGAAGGGAACAUUCGUGUCUGAUGGUGCACUACUCUAUGGAUUCCUCCGUGACAGAUGGUGAAGAAGUUUCACAAGCCAAACACCUUCUCCCAAUUCUUAGCUCCAUUGAAGAAGACGAGUGCCGCCGAGGUGCUCACCGGCAGAGUAAGAA
RNAcentral lists this long non-coding RNA (381 nucleotides) under Elaeis guineensis (African oil palm). RNAcentral describes it as "long non-coding RNA (EGUI_LNC027731)". Lineage: Eukaryota; Viridiplantae; Streptophyta; Magnoliopsida; Arecales; Arecaceae. The record is from RNAcentral.